GCAGAUGCUGACAGCAGCAGUGAUGUAGAUUUGGAAAAUCACUAAAAAUAGUAGGAAUGGAAUUAAAUAGUGAAUAAAUUAUUUAAAUGAACCUUGAUGAAUCCACUUUCAUAUGGAAGAAACGAAACGGUCAUAUGAGUGGUAUGUUAAGAGAUAAUUAGGUUUUCGUGAAACAGGGCCAGAACAGUUUCUGGAUUCUCUGUUCCG
Molecule: long non-coding RNA, 207 nt
Filed under: Gossypium barbadense (sea-island cotton)
Lineage: Eukaryota; Viridiplantae; Streptophyta; Magnoliopsida; Malvales; Malvaceae
Description: long non-coding RNA (GBAR_LNC006467)
Source: RNAcentral